Molecule: transfer RNA, 65 nt
Filed under: Dipodomys ordii (Ord's kangaroo rat)
Lineage: Eukaryota; Metazoa; Chordata; Mammalia; Rodentia; Heteromyidae
Rfam family: tRNA
About the family: Transfer RNA (tRNA) molecules are approximately 80 nucleotides in length. Their secondary structure includes four short double-helical elements and three loops (D, anti-codon, and T loops).
Source: Rfam by way of RNAcentral
GGUGGCUCAGUGGUAGACCGCUUGCCUUGCAAGCAUGAGGCUCUGGGUUCGAUUCCUCAGCACCA